GAUGAACGCUAGCUACAGGCUUAACACAUGCAAGUCGAGGGGCAUCAGGAAGAAAGCUUGCUUUCUUUGCUGGCGACCGGCGCACGGGUGAGUAACACGUAUCCAACCUGCCCUUUACUCGGGGAUAGCCUUUCGAAAGAAAGAUUAAUACCCGAUAGCAUAAUGAUUCCGCAUGGUUUCAUUAUUAAAGGAUUCCGGUAAAGGAUGGGGAUGCGUUCCAUUAGGUUGUUGGUGAGGUAACGGCCCACCAAGCCUUCGAUGGAUAGGGGUUCUGAGAGGAAGGUCCCCCACAUUGGAACUGAGACACGGUCCAAACUCCUACGGGAGGCAGCAGUGAGGAAUAUUGGUCAAUGGGCGUUAGCCUGAACCAGCCAAGUAGCGUGAAGGAUGAUGGCUCUAUGGGUCGUAAACUUCUUUUAUAUAAGAAUAAAGUGCAGUAUGUAUACUGUUUUGUAUGUAUUAUAUGAAUAAGGAUCGGCUAACUCCGUGCCAGCAGCCGCGGUAAUACGGAGGAUCCGAGCGUUAUCCGGAUUUAUUGGGUUUAAAGGGAGCGUAGGUGGACUGGUAAGUCAGUUGUGAAAGUUUGCGGCUCAACCGUAAAAUUGCAGUUGAUACUGUCAGUCUUGAGUACAGUAGAGGUGGGCGGAAUUCGUGGUGUAGCGGUGAAAUGCUUAGAUAUCACGAAGAACUCCGAUUGCGAAGGCA
This 705-nucleotide ribosomal RNA is filed under the name uncultured Bacteroidales bacterium. Its description in RNAcentral is "bacterial SSU rRNA". It matches the Rfam family "Bacterial small subunit ribosomal RNA", at positions 28 to 723 of the family's 1533-position model. Lineage: Bacteria; Pseudomonadati; Bacteroidota; Bacteroidia; Bacteroidales. The record is from RNAcentral.